AGCGUAGACGGAUGGACAAGUCUGAUGUGAAAGGCUGGGGCUCAACCCCGGGACUGCAUUGGAAACUGCCCGUCUUGAGUGCCGGAGAGGUAAGCGGAAUUCCUAGUGUAGCGGUGAAAUGCGUAGAUAUUAGGAGGAACACCAGUGGCGAAGGCGGCUUACUGGACGGUAACUGACGCUGAGGAGCGAAAGCGUGGGGAGCGAACA
Molecule: ribosomal RNA, 207 nt
Filed under: uncultured bacterium
Lineage: Bacteria
Description: partial 16S ribosomal RNA
Rfam family: Bacterial small subunit ribosomal RNA
Source: RNAcentral